Drosophila sechellia is the source of this 4002-nucleotide RNA transcript. RefSeq lists it as uncharacterized. Lineage: Eukaryota; Metazoa; Arthropoda; Insecta; Diptera; Drosophilidae. The record is from RefSeq and is a predicted model, not a curated record. The transcript is spliced from 16 exons.
CCACAGUCUGCAGGGAAAGCGCGCGCCGUGUAAAUCGAAUCGAAACGGAAACAAAGCCCCGAAAACGGUGGAAAAAGGAAAAGCGGAAAGCGUCGGAAAAGCGAAUGCCAAGUGAAUACAUUUAAUCCAUGAAUCACGACUGGGACGAUGUGCAGAGUCGCGGACUCUAGUGAUUCCCCAGCCGAAAUUAAAUAAUAAAUUCCCAAGGAGGAUUGCAAAAAACACAAACAUGCCUCCCAAGAGACGAAGGAGAUUCCAGGGACUCUACUACCAUUCAUCGCCGCCCAAAGUGAUGCCCAUGAAUGGACAGGCGGGUGGGCAAAAUGGACGCAAGCGUCGGGACAACGAAGAUUUCUCGGUGAAGUUAUCCACCAUCAGGAUCUGGAUUCACGAGAAGGACAUCGGCAAGUUGACGCGUAUUUUGUGGGGGGGCCAGGGCAAUCGCCUGUGCCAACAGGCCAGCAACAAUGGUCGAGUAAAGCGCUUCCUGGCCGCCGUUCCCCAUGUCAUGAAUGCCAUCAAGGAUCUGCACCAGGCGGUCAUCGACAACAAUCUGGAGACCGUGCAGGCGCAGCUGGAGCCACCGGUGCCCAGUGCGGUGGUCACCUGCAAGGACGGCAAUGGCUUGAACAUCAUCCACAAGGCCGCCGGACUGGGCCACACCAAGCUGCUGGAGUACCUGGUGGGCAUUUGGCCCGAGGGCGCCCAUGAGACGGACAUUACCGGAAAAACGCCGCUCCACUGGGCCGCCAGUGCCAAGAACAACAUGCGAUGCUACACCCUGCUCACCCAAGCAGGCUGCGACGAGGAGGCCGUAGAUUAUAAAAUGAAGACCCCCUCAUACUAUCGCCACAAGCCGCACGAAAUCGAGCGCGCCUUCCUGGUUUAUGUGCCGGAUGCACCUCGCGUCUCCCCCGACAGCGCCACCGAUUGGGAGGCCUUGUGCGAUGAGGGUGGAGUGGACAACGGAGCGGGAGACGAUGCCAGCUCCAAGAAACUGGACAUCAAGGUGCCGCCGUCUGUGAAUGGCCGCAAAUCGCUGGACGAUAGCCUUGAGAACUCCUCGGAGCUGGACACCAACGACGGUACGAGUGCCAAUGAGAAUGACGAUCUGUCCAAGGCGGAUGCGGAGCCGGAAGCGGAAGUCGCCUCGCCAUUGCAGCGCCGACCGGAAACGCCGGCCACCUUCAACACGAUCAAUGGUGAAGGCGAUGGCGAAGACAGCGAGGUCGAGAAUAUUCGAAGAGCUGUAAGCGCGGAUGGAGGCGGAGAGGCAGAGGAAAACGGAGUUGGGCAGGACGAAGGAGGCGGAGGAGAUGCGGUAAUUGUGGAGAAUGGCGUAGAUCACGAGGAGGCUCCGGAGGAGGAUCAGCCAACGGAGCCCGAAGACGUGGGACAACCCGAGGAGCCUGCUACUGAGAGUGAGCUUGAUGGAAACAAAAAGACUGAAGUGGAGCCAGAGGAGCCGGUGGAACAGGUGGAGCAGGUGGAGCAGGUGGAGCAGGUGGAGCAGGUGGAGCAGGUGGUGCAGGCGGAGCAGGUGGAGCAUGAGGCCUAUGAGGAGCAGGAGACAGUGGAUGAGCCGGAGAGCAACGCUGAGGAUGAAGCGGAUCCGGAAGUGGCCACCAUGUCCGUAGAAGAAAGGGAACCAGAGUCGGAGAACGAUAACGAUGACGACGAUGAGGAUGUAAUAGCUUCGGACAGCAAAGGAAGCAAUCCACGGGAGGGUCAGCAACCAGGAGGCAGAGCACAGCCACCGGAGGACAACGGCAAUGAGUCCCUCACAUCAGCAAUGGCCAUUGAGGGCUUCGUGCACGGUGCACCCGAGGAUUAUACAGUUCAGUCUCAAACUGCAGUUGAUGAAGAUGAGCGCAUUAAGCGCAUUGUGGAGUCCGGAGACUUGGAGCAGCUGGCCGAGAUUGUGCUGAAUGGCGAGGGCGGCAGCUUGGUGGGCCUGAAGUCGCCAGAACCGGAAAUACAGGCCUUUCUCAACAACGUGCCCAGCUAUAUGGAGAAAAUACAUCGCGUGCACGACGCGGCACGUGACGGAGGUUUGCUGGCACUGCAGCAGGCUCUGGAUCGCCGGAAGUUUGCCAUUGCAAAGAACGACAUAUCGCCUAACGGCUCCACGCCCUUGCACGUGGCCGUCCUCUUUGGCCAUACGGACAUCGUUCGGUACUUGGCGUCCCGCUUUCCGGAGACCAUGACAAUUACGGAUAAUGACGGACGCACGCCGCUUCAUUACGCAGCCACAAUUAAGGACAACGGUCAUUUCUACAACAUGCUCCUGCAAUUGGGCGCCAAUCCCAAGUCACUGGACAAGCUGGGCCACUCGGCCGAGUUUUACCUGGACAAGGACAAGGCGAAAAACAUUCUCAAAUACACCGAGCUGCUGAAUAUUUUCGGUGCGGAGGAACUGGAGAACCAGUUGCUCAAUGACCAGGUUCCCGACGAUCUGCACAGUGCCCGGCGGGAGCUGCAGGAUGGCGAGAUCUCAAGGACCUUGGAGCGCUGCUUUAGCGUCAUUUCGGAAUCGGGUAAAUUGCUGAGCGGCACUACGGCAUCGGCUCUGUCCCAUCGAAAGCCACUGAGUGCAUCCUCGCUGCAACUUUCGGUGACCAGCUAUCUGAGUAGAUUCCUCAAGCGUGGUGUCUACGACAAGAUCAAGCGCCGGCAGACCCGACUCGAUCACAAUCUCUUCGAUGUCCUGUGGCCAGCGAUGCGUAAAACAUCAAAGGAGCGCCACUUGGAGGAGGACAUCAACUGCGGGAUUAUAGCACCAGACUUUGAUGUGUUUGUGGUGUUCCAAGAGUUCCUGGUGCCGUUGCUUAAGGACAUGCAUUGCCUGAGCAUUGAUGCUGAUUUCAAACCGCAGCCUCGACUGGCCUAUUUUCCCAUGGACAAUGGGGAAAGGCUCAACACGGCGGCUUUCGUCUUCGACGAUGAGUCGCUGCUGGUCACCCGCUGUUUGGUGGAAGUCUCCAGGAAUCUGGAUCAGUUGGAGCUACCCCUGAACCUUACCAUUGGCCAAUUGGAGCAAGCGGAACGCCUGAUGAUGAGUAAGAUAUUUACCACACACUUUGCGGAUGCCAUUGGCGAAACGGAUUCGGGAAACUAUUACACCAUGACCGAACUCUUGGAACCCGACUCGGAGGUGACGAUGAUGCUCAGUAGCCUCGGUCUGAUGAUUCCUCUCUUAGAUACCAAGGAUCUGGUGCAGGCUGCCGAGUCCACAGCCUUCAAUGGAGCUCUUUGGCCAUAUGGCAGGGGUGUCUUUGUCAAUUCAGCUAACAAUUUGGCUGUGUGGCUGAAUUGCCAGGAGCACUUGAGGAUAAUCUCCACGAGCAGCAGCAAAGAGCCAGCGGAUAUGGGAGCUGCUUACACGAGAGUGGGGAGAGCCAUAACCUACCUGGAAACCCAACUGCAUUUCAAGGAGAGCUACCUCCUGGGUUACCUCCAGUCCAGGCCCAGUUACUUGGGCACCGGACUCAAGAUGACCACCAUAGUGAAGCUAACCAAUCUGAUGAAGGAGAUGGACAACCUGCGGCACUUGUGCUCGGUGCGGGGAUUGAGUAUGGUGACCAAUCGGCUUUCAAAACUCACCGUGCGCCUGGUCAAUAUGCAGAGCAUGGGCGUGGUGGAGUACGUCCUUUUCCAGGACUACUGCACUGCUGUCACCAAUAUCCUGUCGCUAGAGAAAGACAUGUCGCUGACGAACUCCAAGCACAUAGCCACCAUGCUGGUAAAGAUCUUCAAGCGCAAGAAGAACAGCAUCGUGGAUCGCAACUAGAAGAAAGCACUAGAUUCCAGCUCAAUGUACAUUCCAAAUAAAACAAUACCUCCGCACAUUAAAUCCCUAAUACAUAUGCUAAAUUUGACUGAUACCUGCCACGAGCCCUCAUCUCAAAUCUCCUCCGCUUUCGCUGCGUUUAAGGUUAAUCCGCAAUCGUCAGGCGCAGCCAGUGAGCUUUCAGGCCAAUCCAAUCUUCAAGACGGAGCAGG